GCCUGAGUGGCUCAGUGGUUGAGUAUCUGCCUUUGGCUCAGGUAGUGACCCGUGGGUCGCGGGAUCGAGUCCCGCAUCGGGCU
This 83-nucleotide transfer RNA is filed under the name Canis lupus familiaris (dog). It matches the Rfam family "tRNA". From Rfam's summary of the family: Transfer RNA (tRNA) molecules are approximately 80 nucleotides in length. Their secondary structure includes four short double-helical elements and three loops (D, anti-codon, and T loops). RNAcentral also lists the same sequence under 1 other name. The record is from Rfam by way of RNAcentral. Lineage: Eukaryota; Metazoa; Chordata; Mammalia; Carnivora; Canidae.